RNAcentral lists this microRNA precursor (52 nucleotides) under Sus scrofa (pig). RNAcentral's name for it is "mir-1302 microRNA precursor family". It matches the Rfam family "mir-1302 microRNA precursor family". Lineage: Eukaryota; Metazoa; Chordata; Mammalia; Artiodactyla; Suidae. The record is from Rfam by way of RNAcentral.
UGUUUAGUACAAGUAUGUUUCAUGUAAUAUUUAGAACAUACUUAUACUAAAA